GAACGUACGCUGGCGGCACGCCUAACACAUGCAAGUCGAACGAAGUAGCAAUACUUAGUGGCAGACGGGUGAGUAACAUGUAGGUAUCUGCCCUUUGGCCUGGAAUAACACGAGGAAACUUGUGCUAAUACCGGAUAAGUCUUUACGGAGAAAGCUUUAUGCACCAUUGGAUGAGCCUGCACUUGAUUAGUUUGUUGGUGGGGUAAUGGCCUACCAAGACUGUGAUCAAUAGCUGAUUUGAGAGGAUGAUCAGCCACAUUGGGACUGAGACACGGCCCAAACUCCUACGGGAGGCAGCAGUGGGGAAUCUUGCACAAUGGAGGAAACUCUGAUGCAGCGAUGCCGCGUGAGUGAAGAAGGCCUUUGGGUUGUAAAGCUCUUUCGUCGGGGAAGAAAAUGACUGUACCCGAAUAAGAAGGUCCGGCUAACUUCGUGCCAGCAGCCGCGGUAAUACGAAGGGACCUAGCGUAGUUCGGAAUUACUGGGCUUAAAGAGUUCGUAGGUGGUUGAAAAAGUUGGUGGUGAAAUCCCAGAGCUUAACUCUGGAACUGCCAUCAAAACUUUUCAGCUAGAGUAUGAUAGAGGAAAGCAGAAUUUCUAGUGUAGAGGUGAAAUUCGUAGAUAUUAGAAAGAAUACCAAUUGCGAAGGCAGCUUUCUGGAUCAUUACUGACACUGAGGAACGAAAGCAUGGGUAGCGAAGAGGAUUAGAUACCCUCGUAGUCCAUGCCGUAAACGAUGUGUGUUAGACGUUGGAAAUUUAUUUUCAGUGUCGCAGCGAAAGCGAUAAACACACCGCCUGGGGAGUACGACCGCAAGGUUAAAACUCAAAUGAAUUGACGGGGACCCGCACAAGUAGUGGAGCAUGUGGUUUAAUUCGAAGAUACGCGCAGAACCUUACCAACACUUGACAUGUUCGUCGCGACUCUAAGAGAUUAGAGUUUUCGGUUCGGCCGGACGAAACACAGGUGCUGCAUGGCUGUCGUCAGCUCGUGUCGUGAGAUGUUGGGUUAAGUCCCGCAACGAGCGCAACCCUCACUUUUAGUUGCCAUCAUUAAGUUGGGCACUCUGAAAGAACUGCCAGUGAUAAGCUGGAGGAAGGUGGGGAUGACGUCAAGUCCUCAUGGCCCUUACGUGUUGGGCUACACACGUGCUACAAUGGUAUCUACAACAGGAAGCAAAACUGCGAAGUUAAGCAAAUCCCUAAAAGAUACCUCAGUUCGGAUUGCACUCUGCAACUCGAGUGCAUGAAGCUGGAAUUACUAGUAAUCGUGGAUCAGCGUGCCACGGUGAAUGCGUUCCCGGGUCUUGUACACACCGCC
Molecule: ribosomal RNA, 1320 nt
Filed under: uncultured Alphaproteobacteria bacterium
Lineage: Bacteria; Pseudomonadati; Pseudomonadota; Alphaproteobacteria
Description: bacterial SSU rRNA
Rfam family: Bacterial small subunit ribosomal RNA
Source: RNAcentral